RNAcentral lists this ribosomal RNA (465 nucleotides) under uncultured bacterium. RNAcentral describes it as "partial 16S ribosomal RNA". It matches the Rfam family "Bacterial small subunit ribosomal RNA", at positions 338 to 795 of the family's 1533-position model. The record is from RNAcentral.
CCUACGGGAGGCAGCAGUAGGGAAUCUUCCACAAUGGGCGAAAGCCUGAUGGAGCAACGCCGCGUGGGUGAAGAAGGUCUUCGGAUCGUAAAACCCUGUUGUUAGAGAAGAAAGUGCGUGAGAGUAACUGUUCACGUCUCGACGGUAUCUAACCCGAAAGCCACGGCUAACUACGUGCCAGCAGCCGCGGUAAUACGUAGGUGGCAAGCGUUAUCCGGUUUUAUUGGGCGUAAAGGUAACGCAGGUGGUGUUUUAAGUCUGAUGUGAAGGCCUUCGGCUUAACCGAAGUGGUGCAUUGGAAACUGGGAGACGUGAGUGCAGAAGAGGAGAGUGGAAUUCCAUGUGUAGCGGUGAAAUGCGUAGAUAUAUGGAAGAACACCAGUGGCGAAAGCGGCUUUCUGGUCUGUAACUGACGCUGAGGUUCGAAAGCGUGGGGAGCAAACAGGAUUAGAUACCCUUGUAGUC